Molecule: ribosomal RNA, 541 nt
Filed under: uncultured bacterium
Lineage: Bacteria
Description: bacterial SSU rRNA
Rfam family: Bacterial small subunit ribosomal RNA
Source: RNAcentral
AGUGAAUAGAUACCCAGGUAGUCCACGCCCUAAACGAUGUCAACUGGUUGUUGGUCCUUCACUGGAUCAGUAAACGAAAGCUAAACGCGUGAAGUUGACCGCCUGGGGAGUACGGCCGCAAGGUUGAAACUCAAAGGGAUUGACGGGGACCCGCACAAGCGGUGGAUGAUGUGGUUUAAAUUCGAUGCAACGCGAAAAACCUUACCUACCCUUGACAUGCCUCGAACCCUGCAGAGAUGUGGGGGUGCCCGAAAGGGAGCGAGGACACAGGUGCUGCAUGGCUGUCGUCAGCUCGUGUCGUGAGAUGUUGGGUUAAGUCCCGCAACGAGCGCAACCCUUGCCAUUAGUUGCUACGAAAGGGCACUCUAAUGGGACUGCCGGUGACAAACCGGAGGAAGGUGGGGAUGACGUCAAGUCCUCAUGGCCCUUAUGGGUAGGGCUACACACGUCAUACAAUGGCUGGUACAGAGGGUUGCCAACCCGCGAGGGGGAGCCAAUCCCAUAAAAGCCAGUCGUAGUCCGGAUCGCAGUCUGCAACUCG